This 346-nucleotide ribosomal RNA is filed under the name uncultured bacterium. RNAcentral's name for it is "bacterial SSU rRNA". It matches the Rfam family "Bacterial small subunit ribosomal RNA", at positions 53 to 392 of the family's 1533-position model. The record is from RNAcentral.
ACCUGCAGUCGAACGAGAAAGUGGAGCAAUCCAUGAGUAAAGUGGCGCACGGGUGAGUAACACGUGACUAACCUACCUUCGAGUGGGGAAUAACUCCGGGAAACCGGGGCUAAGACCGCAUAAUAUCGAGAGAUCAAAUGCGAAAGCAGCUUGAAGAGGGGGUCGCGGUUGAUUAGCUAGUUGGUGGGGUAAUGGCCCACCAAGGCAAUGAUCAAUAGCCGGCCUGACAGGGCGCACGGUCUCACUGAAACUGAAACACGGUCCUGAGUCCAACGGAGGCAACACUGGGGAAAUAUUCCCACUGGGGGAAACCCUAACGAAUCCUUCCACGAGGCGAUAAGGUGGU